GGAGGGAGGAGGGAGGACUUGCGUCUGCCCCAUUAAAUGCUUUGAUUUCCUGCAGCUCAGCCCAGACUCCUACUUUAAUAGCAUUAAACGUAUGAAUGGGGUAAUAAAAUACAGGUGAUUUCCUUGAGCAUUAUUGACAAAGAGAAAAAGUCAUCGCUUCCUUGUUUCUCUCUUUUAGCUUUUCCUGCUUCUCCUGGAAGACGCGCUCGAUGCACUCAGCUUCUCUGCACCCAAAUCCCAUUGUUUUAACCCAAACCCCCCAUCCCCGCGCUGGGGCACUCGCACCCGAGGCGCGAUGCAGGGAGCGGCCCGGAGCUCCCUCCCCGCGUCCAGCCGGGCUCAGCCCCUCGUCCCCGAGCAGCCCCUAGGUGGAGCCCGGCACCCGCAAUUGCUGCAGGACGCCCCGCAGCCGGGGAUGCUCCAGGGCUGCUUCCGCCCUUCCCCCGCACAACGGAGAGGCACGGAGCUGGGGACCCGUCCUGCGUGUCCAACCCACCCGUGGCGUACCUGCGGGUGGCUGCAGGAGAGCACCGGGAAGGAGGAACCGUGAGCUCAGAGCCACGCAAGGCAGCAGUGCCAGGCGAGCCCCUCCCUGCCACCACACGGUUUGCAUGGCAGAGUCUCCACUCCCCGUUCCACCGGGAUCCAUCUGGGCUGCCGUUAGGGAUUUCCGCAGGAAGGGGAGCCGGAUACUCAGUGCAGAAGUUCAGCAGUACAGCACCCUUAUUUUGGCAGCAUCUCCCAUCCAUGAGUGCUCUCAGGACUUCUUUUCAUGCAGGUAACACUGCAGGUGUGGCUCUGCCUGCCUGGGUUUCCCCUGCUUCAUCCCCUGGGCUUGCAACACAUCCUGCUAGUGAAACCAACUGCUGCAAGUUUGCUUAUGUAUGGCUCCAGGGGACUCGUGCCCUGCAGUCCUAGAGAGCACAUUGUGCUCUAUGUCCCACCUCCCACCUUGGGACAGGUGUGUUAACCAGAUUCAGACCCAGCAGAAUAACUGAUACAUUUUCAACAUUUGUUUUCCAUGCUGGGAUUGAAGCUGGGUCUCUGCAAGCAUCUCCAUGAGGAUGAGGGUGCAAAGAGCCCAGUGAAUUCACAUCCCCAUGCAGGGGUGCCACGUAGAUACCUGGCCACAACUUGCUGCACGUGUGCUCACUUACCUCAGUCACCUCAAGCACAGUUCACACCCAGCACACUCAGCGUCCCAGACAUGAACUCACGCUGCUGACCACCAGCAACGUGACCCCAGUGCUCUUUACCUAAGUCCCAAAGAGGAGGAGUCCAGCAGCCACACAUUGUCUGGGGACAGCAAGAAUCGACCCCCAAACAACAUCACUGCCCGAGCUCUUCCUCUUGCUGAGAAAUGAAAGCUCCUGGGAAGCGGAGCUCUCUCCGUGUUUUCCUGUAUCCCGUCCAUUGCAAGGCUUUCCAACUGUAGUUUUUAAAAGAAAGUAUAUAUUGAUUGAUUUUCUUUAAACACUCGUUUGUUAUUUUUAGGCUACUGCUGUCUAGGAGACAGGCAGCUAACCGCAGCUUCUCACGUUCUUUGUAGGAAAGGAGAAAACGAGUUUUCUCAAGCCUCUCUUGCUCCUGCUCAAAAAUCGGAUCCGGGACACCUCACCUCCAUCUCAGCAGUUGGUUUCUGCUCCCGAAGCACAAGCAUGAUUUCAGCUGGAAGCUCAGCUGGCGACUUCAUUUAAAACAAAAAGCUUCUGAACAAAGAAGAUGAACAGGGGCAAAGAACCCGCAUCCUGACACGGGGGAAACCUUGGAAAGGAGAAGGUGAGCCCCCCGGCCCCGGGGCAGCAAAGCCUCCUGGAGAUGAGGCCCGAAGCACAGCACUUGGAACAAGCAGCCUGGCCGGCUCCUGCAGACCUCACUGUGGCAUCAAACAGAAUUUAAACAAAAGGCUUCUGUCAAAUUUAUCUGAAAAAAAAAACCAACACCCGUGACUAGUUUUAUUCUGUUUCUUUGUAAGCAGUAUCUUUUAAAGAUAUCCCCCCAAAUCCACGCUCUCUGCAUUCUCCUGUGCUUUCUCUCUUCUUUUUCUUUCCCCCUUUUUCCCCUCUUCUUUUUGUUUUUAGUCUUUCCACCUCUGCAGAUGUUUCUCUCUGCACUCAUUUUUGUGUUGGACUGCAGGGUAGGAAAAUCCUGAAAGACCACAAGUACUGGAUCCGACCAUGCAAUAUUUGGUUUGGGGAAAACAGAACCAAACCCCAGUAAAUGGCUUAUUUGUACUAUCUCUUCCCAACCUCUCCGGGCUGCACUGCCCACCCCAGGGCCGAGCCCUGAUCUGCGCGGUGGCAUUUCUUGGGCCAGGAGCUGGGGCCAGCCGGGUGGCAAUCCUCACACAGCCCCAGCGCUGAGGGAAGGGCCGGGCUGGAGCCAAGGUCACAUCCCUGGGGUCUCCCCUGGGGGAAGCAGGGUGGAACUUUCCCAUCCAUAGGGUUUUCCUCCUCCUGCUUGGGGUGAUGUCCCAGAACAAGGCUGAGCACGGGUGGAACACAGAGUAAUUCCCCACCAGGGAAUAAUUCCCCCUGCUGCUUGCUGCUGAAGGUUUCCCUCCCUUUAGCCCUGCUUUCUGCACAGUCCCGCAGCUAACAGCCGGCCCCAGUGCUGUGUGUGCCGCUCGGGGAAUUUCCCCACCCGCGCCGAAGGCAGAGCCACAGUUCCUGCAAUUAACACAGGUGCUCUAUGCACAGCCAGAGCCUACAAACACCUCUGGGACGGGGAGUUAAACCCACCCAGAGCUUCCAAACCCAAUAGACGUAAGCAAAGCCAAAUGGGAAAAACACUAACUCUAUUUUCAUCUUAAGCAGCCAAGCCUCCUGCGCCAGCUCCGAUCCACGUCUCCUCUCUGGGAUCUAAUAGGGAAGCGCAAAGCACUCCAUGAUUUAUUCAGUACCCCGGAGACCUUUUUUUUUUAUCUUUUAUUUUUCGUUUCCACAUAAAUUACACAAGCACUUUAUAAAAUGAAUACACAGAAAACACCUUGUAAGUGCAUAACUUAAAAAAAAAAAAA
Molecule: non-coding RNA, 3019 nt
Organism: Meleagris gallopavo (turkey)
Lineage: Eukaryota; Metazoa; Chordata; Aves; Galliformes; Phasianidae
Source: RefSeq, a predicted model, not a curated record